This 238-nucleotide long non-coding RNA is filed under the name Elaeis guineensis (African oil palm). RNAcentral describes it as "long non-coding RNA (EGUI_LNC069803)". Lineage: Eukaryota; Viridiplantae; Streptophyta; Magnoliopsida; Arecales; Arecaceae. The record is from RNAcentral.
AACUGGACCUAUAGAUCCUCCAUCUCGGAGGAGGCCUUGAACUCCUCCACCGCUCGGGCCCCUACCUCCGAGACCAGGGACGGGAUCCGCACUUUCAGCUCAGAAACCUGUGCCUUCAGUUCGGAGACCUCAGCCUCAGCCUUCUUUCUCUCCUCCUCCAAGGCGGUCCUCAGAUCGGACGAGGUUCGUCCCUCCUUUUCCAGCACCUCUUGGAGACUUAGGACCUCGGCAAUCUUCU